RNAcentral lists this ribosomal RNA (466 nucleotides) under uncultured bacterium. RNAcentral's name for it is "partial 16S ribosomal RNA". It matches the Rfam family "Bacterial small subunit ribosomal RNA", at positions 28 to 507 of the family's 1533-position model. The record is from RNAcentral.
GACGAACGCUGGCGGCGUGCUUAACACAUGCAAGUCGAACGGAAAGGCCUCUUUCGGGGGGUACUCGAGUGGCGAACGGGUGAGUAACACGUGAGUAACCUGCCCUUGACUUUGGGAUAACUUCAGGAAACUGGGGCUAAUACCGGAUAGGAGCUCCUGCUGCAUGGUGGGGGUUGAAAGUUUCGGCGGUUGGGGAUGGACUCGCGGCUUAUCAGCUUGUUGGUGGGGUAGUGGCUUACCAAGGCUUUGACGGGUAGCCGGCCUGAGAGGGUGACCGGCCACAUUGGGACUGAGAUACGGCCCAGACUCCUACGGGAGGCAGCAGUGGGGAAUAUUGCACAAUGGGUGGAAGCCUGAUGCAGCAACGCCGUGUGCGGGAUGACGGCCUUCGGGUUGUAAACCGCUUUCGCUCAUGACGAAGCUUUGUGUGACGGUAGUGGGUAAAGAAGCACCGGCUAACUACGUG